AUUACAACUUUCAACAACGGAUCUCUUGGUUCUGGCAUCGAUGAAGAACGCAGCGAAAUGCGAUAAGUAGUGUGAAUUGCAGAAUUCAGUGAAUCAUCGAAUCUUUGAACGCACAUUGCGCCCUUUGGUAUUACCAAAGGGCAUGCCUGUUCGAGCGUC
RNAcentral lists this ribosomal RNA (159 nucleotides) under Alternaria alternata. Its description in RNAcentral is "5.8S ribosomal RNA". It matches the Rfam family "5.8S ribosomal RNA". From Rfam's summary of the family: 5.8S ribosomal RNA (5.8S rRNA) is a component of the large subunit of the eukaryotic ribosome. It is transcribed by RNA polymerase I as part of the 45S precursor that also contains 18S and 28S rRNA. The record is from RNAcentral. Lineage: Eukaryota; Fungi; Ascomycota; Dothideomycetes; Pleosporales; Pleosporaceae.